GAUGAACGCUGGCGGCGUGCCUAAUACAUGCAAGUCGAGCGAACAGAUGAGGCGCUUGCUCCUCUGACGUUAGCGGCGGACGGGUGAGUAACACGUGGAUAACCUACCUAUAAGACUGGGAUAACUUCGGGAAACCGGAGCUAAUACCGGAUAAUAUAUUGAACCGCAUGGUGCAAUGGUGAAAGACGGUUUUGCUGUCACUUAUAGAUGGAUCCGCGCCGCAUUAGCUAGUUGGUAAGGUAACGGCUUACCAAGGCAACGAUGCGUAGCCGACCUGAGAGGGUGAUCGGCCACAUGGGAACGUGGACACGGUCCAGACGCCUACGGGAGGCAGCAGUAGGGAAUCUGCCGCAAUGGGCGGAAGCCUGACGGAGCAACGCCGCGUGAGUGAUGAAGGUCUUCGGAUCGUAAAACUCUGUUAUUAGGGAAGAACAAAUGUGUAAGUAACUAUGCACGUCUUGACGGUACCUAAUCAGAAAGCCACGGCUAACUACGUG
This 497-nucleotide ribosomal RNA is filed under the name uncultured bacterium. Its description in RNAcentral is "partial 16S ribosomal RNA". It matches the Rfam family "Bacterial small subunit ribosomal RNA", at positions 28 to 507 of the family's 1533-position model. The record is from RNAcentral.